RNAcentral lists this ribosomal RNA (252 nucleotides) under uncultured bacterium. Its description in RNAcentral is "partial 16S ribosomal RNA". It matches the Rfam family "Bacterial small subunit ribosomal RNA", at positions 15 to 263 of the family's 1533-position model. The record is from RNAcentral.
GAUCAUGGCUCAGAUUGAACGCUGGCGGCAUGCCUUACACAUGCAAGUCGAACGGCAUCGCGGGAAAGCUUGCUUUCCUGGCGGCGAGUGGCGAACGGGUGAGUAACACAUCGGAACGUACCGGCUAGUGGGGGAUAACCCGUCGAAAGACGGGCUAAUACCGCAUACGCUCUUAGGAGGAAAGCAGGGGACCUUUGGGCCUUGCGCUAGCCGAGCGGCCGAUGUCCGAUUAGCUAGUUGGUGGGGUAAAGG